RNAcentral lists this ribosomal RNA (1632 nucleotides) under Triticum aestivum (bread wheat). RNAcentral describes it as "partial small subunit ribosomal RNA". Lineage: Eukaryota; Viridiplantae; Streptophyta; Magnoliopsida; Poales; Poaceae. The record is from RNAcentral.
AUGCCACGUACGUCCAGAGCAAGUCAACAAUGGCGUGCUGCUAGUUUCCGCAUCCGUGAGAAGUGUCGUUGUUUUGACGGAUCUCCGGGCGACGCGCGGGAACAUCACACGUUAGCUCUCAUGGCAGCAGUUGUGAGCCUAACGCUGGAGAGAUUUCCAUGCUCCAAAGUUGAGUACAGUACACCGAGGCGAGGCGACUACGACCACGUAUCCGUUCAGAUGCAGAACCUUCAGACGAGAUCGCCAAGUGCAAAAUAUGCCCUCGGUGUCCUGUCGGGGGUGGCUAGUCCCCGACGACGUCUAGGGUUGCGACGGCGCAUCCUGGGCGUGGGUGGAUGUUGCUAUUCUCUGUCAGGGGCGGGGCCAAUGGCAGAGAAGGCAGGAGGGAAGAUGGCAACAGUUCCAGAGAAGACGACGACCCCAAGAUCGACGCAGGCGGCAUCCUCCACGCCGAUGCGGGAGGGAGGGCUGGGGGUUCUGCUGGACGGGGGGCUCCUGUAUCCCCGGCCGAGACCAAAACUCCGACCCAGCUGCGAGCCUCUCAGCGCGGCUAGGGGCAUGAUGUUGAUGGACAAGGAGGCCGACGGAAUCGUCUUUGAAGAAGACGAUCAAUCACUUCCAAAAGCUACAAGAUGGUCGGCAGUCGGCAAGGUUUGCUCCUCCAGGCCUUUGAAGAAAUCUGUGUUGGAAAGAACUAUGCCAAGGGCUUGGAGUCUCCACAAGGAAGCAAGGUUCAGGAAUAUGGGAUCAAACAUAUUUGUGGACUAUGAAGGUGAUGUGAGGCCCUCUGAGAUGGUAUUUGAUAAGAUUGAUAUCUGGGUUCGGGUGGGUGAUCUACCCCGGACAAAAGGACGGAGGCAUUCGGCAAAGCUCUCGGCAACUAGCUGGGAGAGGCUUGUUCACAAGGGAGGGGCCUGCGAUCGUCCCCCCGACUCUUCUGAUCAAUGGGGGGUGUCUUCGGGCGUCUCCCAAGGGAUCGUUCGGAGCACCACAAGGGUGAGAGAAAUGCCAACGAAAAGAAAUCUCAACUCAGAAUUUGAUAGUUUCAGGGAGUACCGCACUGGUGGGCGCUCGAGGGACAAGGACAUAGUUAGCAGCUACAGGCAGUGGUCGGGUAGAGUUGAAGAAGCUAGAGAGGAGGACCUCGGGUACGGGCUUGAGCAGAAAUGGGAGAGAGACUUGCGAAAUAAAUUAGUUGAGCAAAGCCAACAAAGGCAGCGGGAGACAGGAUGGGACGACUACAAUGGAAGAAAGGGCAAGUAUAGUCAUAGUGAAAGUGAAUACGACAGGCAUGCUGUGGGCCGAGACUCUUACAAAGCUGAAUGGGGAGAACCCGCUAUGCAUGCGCCCGCAAUGCAUGGCGAUCGGAACCGACGUAAGGGCCAUUACAUCCGGAAGUACAGAAAGGAUUUUGACCAUCAGCGUGGCAGCUCGUCGCAGGCUAGUGGAGAACAUGAGAGCAGAAAACAAAGGCCCAAGCAAAUGUGGGUUGCCAAGGGAGAGAUGGACAGGCAGGAGGAUAGGAGAGUUUCAUUCGCGACACGAGGCGCAAGACGUCUACAAUGUUUGAUUGCAUCUCCAAGCAUCAUGAUCGAUCGACGGACCCUGCGGGGCCACCUGCAGGAGCAAUGA